GGUGUUUCUCGUCAAAAUAAAAGUACACAACAUGCACCAAAUUCUUCUGAAAGAAAAUUGAUUAGUUGAUUUAUUGAUUCAUGUGCUCAGAGUAGCAGGGGUUUGCUGAAAAAAAAGUUUGAGGCAGCUGUUGACUCAACUGGGCCAAGGAGAUAGAGGACUGGACAGGUAGCCAGUGGUCCAAGGUCCUCUUUUCCAAUGAAAUUAAAGUGUGCCUUUCAUCCGGAAAGCACAGUCAACGAAUUUGGCGGAAGACUGAUGAAGAAUAGAACCCAAGAUGCUUGAGGUCCAGUGUGAAAUAUCCACAGUCAGUCAUGAUUUGGGGUGCAACAUCCAUUGGAUCUGUAUGGAGAAGCAGAUUUCCUCUCCCAGCAAGACUUGGCCCCUGCCCAUACCAGAAGCACCAAAACCUUCUUUGAUGGCCAUAUCAUCACUGUGUUGGACUGGCCAGCCAACUGGAUGGAUCUCAACCCCCUUGAGAAUCUUGGGGGUAUUAU
Long non-coding RNA from Syngnathoides biaculeatus (alligator pipefish), 497 nucleotides. RefSeq lists it as uncharacterized. Lineage: Eukaryota; Metazoa; Chordata; Actinopteri; Syngnathiformes; Syngnathidae. The transcript is spliced from 3 exons. The record is from RefSeq and is a predicted model, not a curated record.